Long non-coding RNA from Rosa rugosa (rugosa rose), 1182 nucleotides. RefSeq lists it as uncharacterized. Lineage: Eukaryota; Viridiplantae; Streptophyta; Magnoliopsida; Rosales; Rosaceae. The record is from RefSeq and is a predicted model, not a curated record. The transcript is spliced from 5 exons.
UAAUGGCCAUUAAUAUACUUAUUAUAUUUGUAGCUAUCGACCUCUCUUUCUCCGCUCUGCUCCCUUCUCUCUUCUCCCUCGUCAGUCCAUCACUUGCAUCUACUUCUCUCCUCCUUGUACUCAAUUGAAACCAUCAUCCAAUGAAUCAAUCCUUCAAAUUGUUAAGCCUCAGCGCCUUGUCUUAGUUCUCAGUGGAUCUACCAAUUUUGUAUGAGUUUAUGCUUCUAAUCGAAGAUCCCCAAUUAUUUCAUUCAAAACCCUAAUCUCUCCCAAUCUCCCUUCAUCAGCAAUGGCCGCCGAAUUUACAGAGUCAAGAUCGAGAGAGAGAGAGAGAGAGAGAGAGCAAUAGCAAUGGGUAAAGAGGAAGAAAAGGAGAUCGAGACGUAAUAGGUAAGAGACAUGACUGCGAGACUAGUGUGCCGCUGCCGAUAUAAGUUAGACUUUGAUUGCCUCUCACCUCCUCUCUCAACAUAAGGAGAAACGCACCACAAUUUUUGUACAUGGCCGCUAUGAAAACCCAACAAUAGUGGUUCUUGAGGAGAAGUUCAGGUGGUGGCCAUUGUGACAACAACAGAUUGCUAUAGGAAUGCUCGAUAUUUACUGCGACCAUCCUUCCCAAAAUGGGGAUCAAGUAUUUAAUAGGCUACGCUCUUGGCAUUGUAGUCAAGAUUGAUGACUAGCAUUCGGGCUUUGAAAAGGUUCGUCAUUUGUGAACUGAUGCAUAAUGAAUCUCUGGAAACUCAAUUACACGAACAGAUGCUGCACUUAAUUUUUUGGUAGCUGUUGGUAAUUUUAAAUGUUCGUAAAGAUUUUUUAAAAGGUCGAGGAAGGUAUGUUAAUACUAGCAGUUGCUUCGAAUUUAGCUAUUUGUUCAGAUUCAUGCCUCUCGGCUACUAUCACUUGUGCUUAAUGUGUCUAUGUUUUUGGUGUUUAACCCCUGAUCUCUUGUGUUUAUUUGGUGAUAGCUACUCGAUCAUCAUGCAAGUUCACAGUUGAAAAUUUCAUAGAAGAUUUUGUGAAGUUUGAAUUAGGUGCAGUGUUUUGUAUAGACAUUAGAUUGUUGUAUGUACUCUUAAGGUAUUAAACCUCACUGGGGUUGACAGCUUGUAAUAGGUACGAUUGAACAAUGUAAUUUUUCCCUUAAUAUGAGGUAUGAAGAAAGUAUAAAUUCCAGAAGCUGAA